AUCAGCUUUUCGUAGUCUGAAGAGAAGUCAGCUGUGAAUAGCUUGUAGAAGAAGUGCGUCUUUACAAAGUACUUUUGUGCUAUUGUGUUACUGAAGAAUAGUGCCUUACAUUUUCUGAAUUUUGUUAUUAAUUCGAUUGUUUAUUGCUGGGGAACAUCUAGUUUCCUUUCCUUGAACGACGGGAUAGAUGACAAUGGAUGAGAAGUAUGUGGAGAGCAUUUGGGCUUUAUUAAGAAAUGCAAUACAGGAAAUACAGAAGAAGAACAACUCAGGUCUAAGUUUUGAGGAAUUGUAUAGAAAUGCAUAUACUAUGGUUCUUCAUAAGCAUGGUGAACGUCUGUAUAAAGGUUUGAAGGAGGUUGUGACGCAACACUUAGAGUUAAAGGUGAGAUGCUUCAUAAGUGUUUAUGC
This is a non-coding RNA of Zootermopsis nevadensis, 411 nucleotides long. Lineage: Eukaryota; Metazoa; Arthropoda; Insecta; Blattodea; Termopsidae. The record is from RefSeq and is a predicted model, not a curated record.